Molecule: transfer RNA, 74 nt
Filed under: Acidobacteriota bacterium
Lineage: Bacteria; Pseudomonadati; Acidobacteriota
Also listed under: 1 other name
Description: Acidobacteria bacterium tRNA-Pro
Rfam family: tRNA
About the family: Transfer RNA (tRNA) molecules are approximately 80 nucleotides in length.
Source: RNAcentral
CGGGGUGUGGUGUAACGCGAGCAUCCAAGUCCUGGGAACUUGAGGGCAGGGUUCAAUUCCCUGCACCCCGACCA